GAUGAAGAACGUAGCGAAAUGCGAUACUUGGUGUGAAUUGCAGAAUCCCGUGAACCAUCGAGUCUUUGAACGCAAGUUGCGCCUCAAGCCAUUAGGUUGAGGGCACGUCUGCCUGGGCGUCACAUAUCGUUGCCUGAUGCCAGUUUCCUCGUGAUGGGUGACUGUGCAGGGCGAAUGAUGGCUUCCCGUGAGCAUUGUUGCCUCAUGGUUGGUUGAAAAUUGAGUCCUUGGUAGGGAGCGCCGUGAUAGAUGGUGGUUGAGUGACGAACGAGACCCAAUCAUGUGAGACCCCUACCGAAUUUGGCCUUCAUGACCCACAUGCGUCUUUGGAACGCUCAUGACGAGACCUCAGGUCAGGCGGGGCUACCCGCUGAGUUUAAGCAUAUAAAUAAGCGGAGGA
RNAcentral lists this unclassified non-coding RNA (400 nucleotides) under soil metagenome. Its description in RNAcentral is "partial contains 5.8S ribosomal RNA, internal transcribed spacer 2, and large subunit ribosomal RNA". The stretch from base 1 to 122 matches the Rfam family "5.8S ribosomal RNA", at positions 35 to 154 of the family's 154-position model. The record is from RNAcentral.